CAGUCGCCGCGGGAAUACGUAGGGUCCGAGCGUUGUCCGGAAUUAUUGGGCGUAAAGGGCUCGUAGGCGGUUUGUCGCGUCGGGAGUGAAAACCAGCAGCUUAACUGCUGGCCUGCUUUCGAUACGGGCAGACUUGAGGCAUUCAGGGGAGAACGGAAUUCCUGGUGUAGCGGUGAAAUGCGCAGAUAUCAGGAGGAACACCGGUGGCGAAGGCGGUUCUCUGGGAAUGUUCUGACGCUGAGGAGCGAAAGUGUGGGGAGCGAACAGGAUUAGAUACCCCAGUAGUCCCUGUCUCUUAUAC
RNAcentral lists this ribosomal RNA (301 nucleotides) under uncultured bacterium. Its description in RNAcentral is "partial 16S ribosomal RNA". It matches the Rfam family "Bacterial small subunit ribosomal RNA", at positions 509 to 807 of the family's 1533-position model. The record is from RNAcentral.